GAUGAACGCUAGCGGGAGGCUUAACACAUGCAAGUCGAGGGGCAGCACGGGUAGCAAUACUUGGUGGCGACCGGCAGACGGGUGAGUAACGCGUAUGUAACCUACCCCAUACAGAGGGAUAACUCGAAGAAAUUCGGACUAAUAUCUCAUAAGACCACACGAGGACAUCCGAGAGUGGUUAAAGUUCCGGCGGUAUGGGCUGGGCAUGCGUAACAUUAGCUAGUUGGUAAGGUAACGGCUUACCAAGGCUUCGAUGUUUAGGGGUCCUGAGAGGGUGGUCCCCCACACUGGUACUGAGACACGGACCAGACUCCUACGGGAGGCAGCAGUGAGGAAUAUUGGUCAAUGGGCGCAAGCCUGAACCAGCCAUCCCGCGUGCAGGAAGACGGCCCUAUGGGUUGUAAACUGCUUUUCCAGGGGGCGAAUAGCUCUUACGUGUAAGGGUAUGACUGUACCUUGGGAAUAAGCAUCGGCUAACUCCGUGCCAGCAGCCGCGGUAAUACGGAGCGUG
RNAcentral lists this ribosomal RNA (511 nucleotides) under uncultured bacterium. Its description in RNAcentral is "bacterial SSU rRNA". It matches the Rfam family "Bacterial small subunit ribosomal RNA", at positions 28 to 534 of the family's 1533-position model. The record is from RNAcentral.